GACGAACGCUGGCGGCGUGCUUAACACAUGCAAGUCGAACGGAACUUCUUGGAUAGAGACUUCGGUCAAUUGAAUUGAAGUUUAGUGGCGGACUGGUGAGUAACGCGUGAGGAACCUGCCUUUCAGAGGGGGACAACAGUUGGAAACGACUGCUAAUACCGCAUAAGUGCACAGUACCGCAUGGUACAGUGUAAAAAACUCCGGUGGUGUGAGAUGGACCCGCGUCUGAUUAGCUGGAUGGCGGGGUAACGGCCCACCAUGGCGACGAUGUCUAGGGGUUCUGAGAGGAAGGUCCCCCANAUUGGAACUGAGACACGGGUCCAAACGUCCUACGGGAGCAGCAGUGAGGAAUAUUGGGUCAAAUGGACGGAAGUCUGAACCAGCCAAGUCGCGUGAAGGAUGAAGGUUCUAUGGAUU
Molecule: ribosomal RNA, 417 nt
Filed under: uncultured bacterium
Lineage: Bacteria
Description: bacterial SSU rRNA
Rfam family: Bacterial small subunit ribosomal RNA
Source: RNAcentral